UACAGAGGUCCCAAGCGUUGUUCGGAUUCACUGGGCGUAAAGGGUGCGUAGGCGGUCGGGUAAGUCUGGCGUGAAAUCUCCAAGCCUAACUUGGAAACUGCGUUGGAUACUAUCCGGCUCGAGGAAUUGAGGGGAGACUGGAAUACUUGGUGUAGCAGUGAAAUGCGUAGAUAUCAAGCGGAACACCAGUGGCGAAGGCGAGUCUCUGGACAUUUCCUGACGCUGAGGCACGAAAGCCAGGGGAGCAAACGGG
RNAcentral lists this ribosomal RNA (253 nucleotides) under uncultured bacterium. RNAcentral's name for it is "partial 16S ribosomal RNA". It matches the Rfam family "Bacterial small subunit ribosomal RNA", at positions 524 to 776 of the family's 1533-position model. The record is from RNAcentral.